Molecule: ribosomal RNA, 236 nt
Filed under: uncultured bacterium KC509
Lineage: Bacteria; Pseudomonadati; Pseudomonadota; Alphaproteobacteria
Description: partial 16S rRNA
Rfam family: Bacterial small subunit ribosomal RNA
Source: RNAcentral
CCCGCGUUAGAUCAGAUAGUUGGUGGGGUAAUGGCUACCAAGUGUACGAUAUAUAGCUGGUUUUAGAGGAUGAUCAGCAACACUGGGACUGAGACACGGCCCAGACUCCUACGGGAGGCAGCAGUGGGGAAUCUUAGACAAUGGGCGCAAGCCUGAUCUAGCCAUGCCGCGUGUGUGAUGAAGGUCUUAGGAUCGUAAAGCACUUUUCGCCAGGGAUGAUAAUGACAGUACCUGGU